This 67-nucleotide transfer RNA is filed under the name Bombus hypocrita hypocrita. Its description in RNAcentral is "tRNA-Tyr". It matches the Rfam family "tRNA". From Rfam's summary of the family: Transfer RNA (tRNA) molecules are approximately 80 nucleotides in length. Their secondary structure includes four short double-helical elements and three loops (D, anti-codon, and T loops). Further hydrogen bonds mediate the characteristic L-shaped molecular structure. tRNAs have two regions of fundamental functional importance: the anti-codon, which is responsible for specific mRNA codon recognition, and the 3' end, to which the tRNAs corresponding amino acid is attached (by aminoacyl-tRNA synthetases). tRNAs cope with the degeneracy of the genetic code in two manners: having more than one tRNA (with a specific anti-codon) for a particular amino acid; and 'wobble' base-pairing, i.e. permitting non-standard base-pairing at the 3rd anti-codon position. RNAcentral also lists the same sequence under 1 other name. Lineage: Eukaryota; Metazoa; Arthropoda; Insecta; Hymenoptera; Apidae. The record is from RNAcentral.
AGUAUUAUGUCUGAAAAAGAAAUAAAUUGUAAAUUUAUUAAUGGAAAUUAAAAUUUUUCUAAUACUA